ACCUUCCUCACUCCUUGUGUGCGAUGCGAGCAUUGGCUAGAUUUCAUGCGAGUAGUUUGGCCAUAUGCGAAAAGGAACCCGAUCACAAAACGCUUUACACCAGAGGAUUAUACUACGAUAAACAAACUUCCGGAUUAAGAUGCUUCUUCAUUCUUGCAACAAAAUCGUUAGCCGAACAAGUAAAAAAAUGGCCUAAUUUUGAGAAAUAUGGAGAGAAAAUUGACAAAAUAUCGGAUAAAAUCUAUUAUGAG
RNAcentral lists this long non-coding RNA (251 nucleotides) under Polistes fuscatus (common paper wasp). RNAcentral describes it as "uncharacterized LOC122514396". Lineage: Eukaryota; Metazoa; Arthropoda; Insecta; Hymenoptera; Vespidae. The record is from RNAcentral.